This 406-nucleotide ribosomal RNA is filed under the name uncultured bacterium. RNAcentral's name for it is "partial 16S ribosomal RNA". It matches the Rfam family "Bacterial small subunit ribosomal RNA", at positions 29 to 526 of the family's 1533-position model. The record is from RNAcentral.
AUUGAACGCUGGCGGCAGGCCUAACACAUGCAAGUCGAGCGAGCGGCGGACGGGUGAGUAACGUCUGGGAAACUGCCUGAUGGAGGGGGUUAACUACUGGAAACGGUAGCUAAUACCGCAUACCAUCAGAUUUGCCCAGAUGGGAUUAGCUAGUAGGUGGGGUAAUGGCUCACCUGGGCGACGAUCCCUAGCUGGUCGGAGAGGAGGACCGGCAACACGGGAACUGAGACACGGUCCAGACUCCUACGGGGGGCACCAGAGGGGAAUAUUGCACAAUGGGCGCAAGCCUGAUGCAGCCAUGCGGCGUGGGUGAAGAGGGCCUUCGGGUUGUAAGGCACGUUCAGCGAGGAGGCGUUACUCGCAGAAGAAGCACCGGCUAACUCCGUGCCAGCAGCCGCGGUAAUUC